CGAAGACUGGGAGCAACCGGAAGAUUGUGCGACGCUGUGAUCAGAAAACUUGCACGAAGAAGUAUUAAUAAACAGUUGUACAAACUUACCAAGAUUAUUCGCGUUUAAAGCUUCCAUGGUAGUCGAGUCUGAUUCUGCUUGCACGGUAGUUGUCGCUGUUGUGACUAAUGGCGCAUCAUUGGCCUCGCUCGAAUCUGCCAUAUGUUCAUUGUCCGCCAUUAUGUGUGAACUAAACUUUAAGAUUUUGAUAUGAACGUAGUAGUUUUAUAAAAUUUUCUUAAAAGAUUACACAAUAUUGCAAAAUAUAGCGUUCGCAGAGAAGAAAUUCUCAAUGAAAAUACGUUUCAUGAAGGAAGGCUUUGGACGAAGCGUAUGCCAACGAUCAUUGCAUCACGUGGCACGAGUCAGUUCAUUGGUCGAAAGACAAUAGAUAUUUACAUAUUUUAGAGGCUUUGUGAACGGCAAUAAUAGAACUUAUUCAAAGUAAAAAAAUAUUCAUGAAUAUUAGCUUUCUAAACCGUAUAGGGUGGAACAGGGUCAUACUGCCUAUAAGGAGCACAUUUUUUACUCUAAAAAUCGUCAUCGGAGGCCGUGCUUACAGCCUUUCACUACUUUGCAUCGCGCAGGCGCAACGCUCCGGGGUGGGCACUUAAAACAAAAACUUAAAGAACUUAAAACAAAAAAGUGCACCUGUAUGAUGAUCUACAUGAUAGAGAUUGAAGAUGGAUGACUGCAUAGGAAUGAUCGAAUGAACCAUCAAUUAACAUCAUGGAAUGAACGGACGAAUCUAGCCGAAAAAACAAAUGAGAAUAGGGCAUAGUGAAUUGACAAAUUGUCAAAUAGAAUUUGGAUGAUCAAACCGAACUUCGUCUUCGUUUUUCAAAUUCCAAUUUUUAUUCUAACGAAAAUAUGAAAUGGAAUCCGAAUACAGGAAACAAGAAAAUCGAACCUACAACUGCCAUCUUUACAGCAAUAGCCAAUAGGCCUUGGGCUUAGCGUUUUUCCACCGACAUAAUUAUCUGUGCAACCACGUUACAACUCACAGGACGAAGAAAUGUCAACCACUGGCACAACGAAUUUGUAGUCCCAAAUUUGUGAGGUUAACCGAUACAAGGCUGAGAGUCUGCGACAGACAGGUUAAUAGGCUCAAUGGCUAUGCUGCCAUUUGUCUCACGAAUACAAGUACAGCAGUUGCAACUUAACAACUUGAAAAUCACUGACAGCCAUAGGCAUAGUUAUUGGAUUUAAAAAUGUUAAAUUAAACUUAAAAGCCUUGGUCAAAC
Paramuricea clavata is the source of this 1283-nucleotide non-coding RNA. NCBI's taxonomy places the organism in Eukaryota, Metazoa, Cnidaria, Anthozoa, Malacalcyonacea, Plexauridae. The record is from the annotation of a GenBank genome assembly.